AGUGAACGCUGGCGGUAGGCCUAACACAUGCAAGUCGAACGGCAGCACAGUAAGAGCUUGCUCUUACGGGUGGCGAGUGGCGGACGGGUGAGGAAUACAUCGGAAUCUACUUUUUCGUGGGGGAUAACGUAGGGAAACUUACGCUAAUACCGCAUACGACCUACGGGUGAAAGCAGGGGAUCUUCGGACCUUGCGCGAUUGAAUGAGCCGAUGUCGGAUUAGCUAGUUGGCGGGGUAAAGGCCCACCAAGGCGACGAUCCGUAGCUGGUCUGAGAGGAUGAUCAGCCAAACUGGAACUGAGACACGGUCCAGACUCCUACGGGAGGCAGCAGUGGGGAAUAUUGGACAAUGGGCGCAAGCCUGAUCCAGCCAUACCGCGUGGGUGAAGAAGGCCUUCGGGUUGUAAAGCCUUUUUGUUGGGAAAGAAAAGCAGCAGGUUAAUACCCCGCUGUUCUGACGGUACCCAAAGAAUAAGCACCGGCUAACUUCGUG
This 492-nucleotide ribosomal RNA is filed under the name uncultured bacterium. RNAcentral describes it as "partial 16S ribosomal RNA". It matches the Rfam family "Bacterial small subunit ribosomal RNA", at positions 29 to 507 of the family's 1533-position model. The record is from RNAcentral.